AGAGAGAGACAUGCGCGCAUAUCAAUAAGCGGAGGAAAAGAAACUAACAAGGAUUCCCUUAGUAACGGCGAGUGAAGCGGGAAGAGCUCAAAUUUGAAAUCUUCAAGGUUUUACCUUGACGAAUUGUAGUUUAAAGAAGUGUUUUCUGCUGAAGUUUUGGUAAAAGUUCUUUGGAAUAGGACAUCAUAGAGGGUGAGAAUCCCGUAUUUGACCAUUAUUUUCAGCUUUGUGAUACACUUUCAAAGAGUCGGAUUGUUUGGGAAUGCAGUCCAAAAUGGGUGGUAAAUUUCAUCUAAAGCUAAAUAUUGGCGAGAGACCGAUAGCGAACAAGUACCGUGAGGGAAAGAUGAAAAGAACUUUGAAAAGAGAGUUAAACAGUACGUGAAAUUGUCAAAAGGGAAGCGUUUGACACCAGUGUUGUUUUCUCGAAAAUCAAUUAAAAAUGGCUCGAUUUUGUAUUGUUGAGACCUUAAAAGCUCACUGUACAUUUUUCGUGUCUUUUUUAAUGCACUUUUCGUUUAACAAGUCAACAUCAGUUUCUUUUGUUGUAAAAGGGUCAUUGGAAGGUGGACUUUCUUUUCGGAGAAAGUGUUUAUAGCCUUUGGCCUCUGCAAUCGGAAGAGACUGAGGUCUGCAGCGUAGACUCUUCGGGGUUAGAUACAUUUGUGCUAAGUUAUAGCUUUUUAUAGACAACUUGUUGACUAUAAUUAGUCUUGUAGCUUACUCGCUUAUGCUAUUUUACCUACGCUUAGGAUGUUGAAGAUGUAGCACAUCAU
This 776-nucleotide ribosomal RNA is filed under the name uncultured Neocallimastigales. RNAcentral describes it as "partial large subunit ribosomal RNA". It matches the Rfam family "Eukaryotic large subunit ribosomal RNA", at positions 23 to 634 of the family's 3401-position model. The record is from RNAcentral. Lineage: Eukaryota; Fungi; Neocallimastigomycota; Neocallimastigomycetes; Neocallimastigales.